CUGGACACCUUGACGGGCCGCACCGCGAAAAAGCGACCCGAUCCCACCGACCG
This 53-nucleotide non-coding RNA is filed under the name unclassified sequences. Its description in RNAcentral is "RAGATH-5 RNA". It matches the Rfam family "RAGATH-5 RNA". The record is from RNAcentral.